CUAGAUCUGACUGAGUGCUCCAGCCGCACGCGGAUUCUGCGGCGCCCAGCAGCGAGACCGCAUCUCGCCGUUGCUGAUCUGCAGAGGCAAAAGCGGUCGCCGGGAGGCCACAGGAGAGUAUAAGAGAUUGCUCUCCUGUUCGUGGCGCUGGGACCAUGAGCUAUGUCGUCUGAUUGAACGACCAGCUUGUUCCUUGCCGUCCGUGGCAGAGAUGGGUAGGGAUAAGUAUAUGAAUGUCUUAUACUACUCUCCAUCCUCCUCCUCCUCUGUCCUAGCAGUAUAUAUGUACUUUAUUAGUUGUAAAUGUUAAGUAAUUCAGAGGUAACGUUGAGUUACUUGUCAUUGAUGUGUAUUGCAUUUUUUAGGGAAUGAAACUUAUAUUAUUUUGUUUUUGAUAUUCUGUCCAAUUUUGAUUGUUGUCUAUUCAACACAUCCGUAGCAAUUAUAUGAAGUUUUCUAUAUUAAAAGGUAAAUCCAUUGUAUCCAUCUACUACGUAUGCCAAUCUUUGUUAUGCUCAUUGUCUUCUCUGCACUUGUUAACAUGUGUAUAUAUGAGAGGUGUCAGAAAAUGGUAAUCUGCAUUAGCAUGUAAUUGAUCUCUUUGCAUUUGUAGAGUCAAACGCGGAGGAAAGUUGUGGGAUCUCUCUGCAUUUUUGUGAGAGUUUGGAUUUUUUUGGAGAGAUUGCAUCUCUACAUUUUUGUGGGGAGGAUUGUGGAGUUUGGCCAUGUUUGGUUAUUGAGAGAUUUUACCCUGUACGUGCCAAAUUUUUUUAAUUAUGGGAUGGUUUGAUCGCUUGUGGGAUGGUCCAGCCUGUUUUUUUAGAGUUGAUGUCCAGCUUAUUGGGAUCGUGAGAUUGAGUGUAGAGGUCCGAACUUGUUACGAUCUCACGUCCGAGAGAUUUACCCUGGUUGCAACAUUAUGGGUCCAAUCUGUUGUGAUCUCAUGUUACGGGGCCACCUUGUUUAUAAAGAUCUAACGGUCGUACUUUGUUGAUUGGAAAUAGGCACACAUAAUUAAAGGCCGGAUGUUUCUAAUUGUUGUGGGAUUUUUUAAGCUAAUUAUCUUUAUUCUGGUGAACCUGUCAACACGUCCCAGAAAUUUUACCUUGGGGUAGGGAUAAGUAUAUCAAUGUCUUACUACUCUCCCAUCCUCAUCCUCUCUCCUAGCAGUAUAUAUGUAAUUUAUUAGUUGAUUCACUUAGUUGAUAUAAAUGUUAAGUGAUUCAGAGGUAAUGUUCAGUUACUUAGUUAUUUUGUUAAAUUGCAAUUUAGAUGAUAACCUCAUACAUUCUGUUGUUAUUCAUGUAACUGAGUAUCAUUUAUAGGAUAUAAAUUAUAGAGUAAUUUUACUUGUCAUUGAUGUGUAUUACAUUUUUUAGGGAAUGAGAUGUAUAUUUUUUAUUUGAUAUUUUGUCCAGUUUUGAUUAUUGUCUCUUGAACACAUCCGUAGCAAUUAUAUGAAGUUUUGUAUAUUAAAAGGUAAAUCCAUUGUAUCCAUCUACUAUGUAUAAGCCAAUCUUUGUUAUGCUGAUUGUCUUCUAUGCGCCUGUUAACAUGUAUAUACAUGAUAGCGGUGUCAGAAAAUGGUAAUCUGCAUUAGAAUUGAUUGAUCUCUUUCCAUUUGUAGGGAGUCAAACGCGAAGGCAAGUUGUGGGCUUCCUAGUUGCUACUGCUUUAGGCUUCCACCUAUGUAAUGUGUGCUACAACUUCGCAUCAUUCCUACAUCCCUCCACAUCGGCUUAUUCUUCAUAGGUAUGUUUCCCCUGUCUAGUUGGAUAAAAAUAUGUUAUUUUUAUUUGUUGUUACCAUAUUAGCAAGUUAUAUUACUGAUAUGUGUAUUAAACCAAAGCAAGACGGGUUACAUUUGUUAGAUGAAAUUUAGUUCAUGUGUCUUGAUUGAUGUGCAAAGAAUCGCACCUAUUAUAGGCGAUGCCCAUAGUACGGGAGCUUUUCUCAUGGCCGUCUUCAACUCAAAGUAUGUAGGAAAAAGAGUGCAUACCAAGAACAUGAAACUCACAAAAGUGCAUAUCUGAUAGCCCUAAUUGUAUCGACUGAUUUGAAGUAUUAUUUCACUAUCUCAAUAACGUAAAUGGUUUGCCUUACUUUCAACAUAUUUAUUAUGUACCCUCUAGCGCUUCUUCAGAUUUUCCAUCCGAUGAGUUCAACAACUUUUCCAUAUCAUAGUGCAGAGUAAAUAUAAUUCUCCCUUCGAUCCAUAUUAAUUGUCGCUGACUUAGUACAACUUUGUACAGUGACAAUUAAAAUGGAUCAUAGGGAGUAGGAAAUUUCAUAUUCAAGUCAGUAGAAUAUACUUACUGGGCUGUUAUAAUUUCUGUAUAUAACCGCAACCGUUGCAGUAAAUAUACUUGUCAGUCUCCUUUGUAUUUAGUUUGCGACAAUCACCACAUGACCAUUGGAUAUUUUCUAGUAACAGAUCUAUUAUAGCUAUGGUCGUUAAAGUGAAAUCCUAAAAGUUUUACCCAAAAGCUCAAAGUUAGGAAUCUAAAGAAGUUGAGAGACGUAAAUAAUUAAAAUAUGGCUCCAUUAUAACUGAUAUGACUCAAAAAUAAACAUGCGUCAUGAUUCAUUAGUUGAUAAAUAAGAGUGAAAGAUAGUGUUCCAUACCUGUCAAGAAGUUUUUGAGUUUUGGCUCUAUCUAGAUUUGUAUAUAUUAUUGUGGCACCGGUUAACUUUACGACCCUAUGAAAUCAAUGACAAAUCUAUUAGAUUUUUGUUUCUUUGUAAAUAACAGAGGAUCUUAUAACAUAAUUGGACUUACUUUUGGACUUAAUUACUUUGCAGUUAGAAAUAUUAACAGACAAAAAUACAAUUUGCAUGUUUGUUUAAAAUAGUAGAACAGUCUGUAAUUAAAUAUGAUGAUUAAAGUUUUUUGUCUAUCAAAGUCAUAAGGAGGCUCAUGAGUUGGUCGGUUGUAUGGUUGAUAGAAUCCCAUAUUCUCACUACUCUCACUUGAAUGUUCUAGUUUGUGUUUUUGUUGCUCAAUAAGCUUCUUGCACGCCAUAGUGUUUUGACAGCAAAAGGAUUCGAAAAUUGUUAGUUGGUUAUGUAUGAAGCUUUUAUCCCAAUAUAAGUGAACUAAUUAAUAUUUACAAACCUUCUUGAUUCAGAUGAGAGGUUGUUGGUACCUCAGCAGGUCGGUCGUGACUUCAUUGGGCAUCGAGUUGCACGAUGAUGUCGAUGUUCGUACGACAUCGUGUCGCAGAAUCACAUGCUUCAAUUUGUAGCACCCUGACUAUGCUUAACGGCUUGGAUAAUUCCAGUGGAAUGGCUGUAGGAUUACCUCCUCCUUGUCGCCUCGGCCACCGCCACUUCUUUGGAGCUUGCAUCCACGCCCAUCAUGUGUUAGCUGUUCGGGGCCCUCUGUCGUAUUCGUAUAUGUGAUGUAGGUCAUUCUCUCUCCCUCGGCAAGCCUAGCUUUCUUUGCUAUUGUUGGUCUCCGGCGGUGAGACUUCGUCCUUGAUCAGGUCAUCUUCCCAAGGAUUUAAGGAAAGCCUCUAUAUCAUAGACUAUUAAUUGAGAUGAUUAGGUUCCUGUGAUAGGAGCCAAAGUGAUUGUUCCUCCACCGCCUACAUUUAAUCUGAUCGAGCGAUCAGUGAGAUUAAAAAAGUACUUCCUUAUAAUGACGUGACCUGGUUCUGUGCGUGCCUAUUUUUUCUUCCUUCAAUGAGGUUAUCUGGUUCCGUGCAUGCCUACUUUUUUCUUUUGCAAACGGAAUUAUUGUAUCGUUCCUGCAUACAUGGUUUGGCGUACGGGUCCGUUAGUCCGUUCAGACCUUAACU
This 3800-nucleotide long non-coding RNA is filed under the name Triticum aestivum (bread wheat). Its description in RNAcentral is "long non-coding RNA (TAES_LNC025927)". The record is from RNAcentral. Lineage: Eukaryota; Viridiplantae; Streptophyta; Magnoliopsida; Poales; Poaceae.